Molecule: ribosomal RNA, 497 nt
Filed under: uncultured bacterium
Lineage: Bacteria
Description: partial 16S ribosomal RNA
Rfam family: Bacterial small subunit ribosomal RNA
Source: RNAcentral
GACGAACGCUGGCGGCGCGCCUAACACAUGCAAGUCGAACGGAGCUUACAGACGGAAGUUUUCGGAUGGAAGGCUGCAAGCUUAGUGGCGGACGGGUGAGUAACACGUGAGCAACCUGCCUAUCAGAGGGGGAUAACGAUUGGAAACGAUCGCUAAUACCGCAUGACGUAGCGGAAUCGCAUGGUUCUGUUAUCAAAGAUUUUAUCGCUGAUAGAUGGGCUCGCGUCCGAUUAGAUAGUUGGUGGGGUAAUGGCCUACCAAGUCGACGAUCGGUAGCCGGACUGAGAGGUCGAACGGCCACAUUGGGACUGAGACACGGCCCAGACUCCUACGGGAGGCAGCAGUGGGGGAUAUUGCACAAUGGGGGAAACCCUGAUGCAGCGACGCCGCGUGAGGGAAGACGGUCCUCUGGAUUGUAAACCUCUGUCUUCGGGGACGAAACGAGACGGUACCCGAGGAGGAAGCCACGGCUAACUACGUGCCAGCCGCCGCGGUAA